RNAcentral lists this long non-coding RNA (288 nucleotides) under Coturnix japonica (Japanese quail). Its description in RNAcentral is "lncRNA (ENSCJPG00005019446.1)". Lineage: Eukaryota; Metazoa; Chordata; Aves; Galliformes; Phasianidae. The record is from RNAcentral.
AUGUGUAUGAAUUUUAAGACAUCUGUGCACUUGGAAGAACGGGGUAAGAAGACAGCUCUGGCAGCAAUGACGCUGGAAAGCUAUGAUGCUCUGGGACAGAAUCAUCUGAAUGCCAACCAUCUGCACUGCAUAUCAAGUCUCAAAAUGCCUAUGAAUCAAGAUAAGAACAUGACUUUACAUGAGACCCAUUUGUACUUUGUGUGCGAGUCACUGAAGGUGCAGAUCACAGAAACUAUGCAAAUUCCAAGGUCAAGUGAGUUUUUACAGCAAUCAAAAUGGGAAAUGUGA